UGGAGGUCUGCAGGACUAUAGAGGGCAUGAGCUCAGGAGCUCAGGCCAGCUCAUGGUGCAGGGCCUCUG
MicroRNA precursor from Chlorocebus sabaeus (green monkey), 69 nucleotides. Lineage: Eukaryota; Metazoa; Chordata; Mammalia; Primates; Cercopithecidae. The record is from Ensembl.